This 468-nucleotide ribosomal RNA is filed under the name uncultured bacterium. RNAcentral's name for it is "partial 16S ribosomal RNA". It matches the Rfam family "Bacterial small subunit ribosomal RNA", at positions 28 to 507 of the family's 1533-position model. The record is from RNAcentral.
GACGAACGCUGGCGGCGUGCUUAACACAUGCAAGUCGAACGGAAAGGCCCUGCUUUUGUGGGGUGCUCGAGUGGCGAACGGGUGAGUAACACGUGAGUAACCUGCCCUUGACUUUGGGAUAACUUCAGGAAACUGGGGCUAAUACCGGAUAGGAGCUCCUGCUGCAUGGUGGGGGUUGGAAAGUUUCGGCGGUUGGGGAUGGACUCGCGGCUUAUCAGCUUGUUGGUGGGGUAGUGGCUUACCAAGGCUUUGACGGGUAGCCGGCCUGAGAGGGUGACCGGCCACAUUGGGACUGAGAUACGGCCCAGACUCCUACGGGAGGCAGCGGUGGGGAAUAUUGCACAAUGGGCGGAAGCCUGAUGCAGCAACGCCGCGUGCGGGAUGACGGCCUUCGGGUUGUAAACCGCUUUCGCCUGUGACGAAGCGUUAGUGACGGUAAUGGGUAAAGAAGCACCGGCUAACUACGUG